This 504-nucleotide non-coding RNA is filed under the name Pongo abelii (Sumatran orangutan). Lineage: Eukaryota; Metazoa; Chordata; Mammalia; Primates; Hominidae. The record is from RNAcentral.
UCUUCUUCUUCUUCUUCUUCUUCUUCUUCUUCUUCUUCCUCCUCCUUCCUCUCCUUUCUCCUCCUCCUCCUCCUCCUUCUCCUCCUUCUUCACACUUGUCUGCCUCAUACCCCAGCCUUGCUUGAUUUAUUUACCUGCAAGUUAGAAACUGGGAGAGAACCAACUUGUAGCUUUUUUGGUCUGGGAAAGAAAAUCCAAACCAUGCUUCUCUAGGGCCUCCUGACCUGGCUAAGCUCCAUGGAGGGAACCCUGGACAUGAGGGAUCCAAGCACCGCUCCGGUUUCCCAGAGGCCUGUGGAUGACUCUCAUCUGGCGGUGGACCUCAGAUGGGGCUCAGCAGUGAAAGAGGGGAAGACAAAAAUCUGGCGAGCGAGCUGCCCGGGCCGAGACUGGCCACUUCAAACAGCCCUUCAAACAAAAGGAGACGACGAAAAGAAAGCCCCACCUGUCUCCAGUGUUUGCUAAAAUAAUAAUAAAUAGAUUUCGUUUAAUAAAUAAUUACAA